RNAcentral lists this ribosomal RNA (1021 nucleotides) under Microbacterium sp. RNAcentral's name for it is "bacterial SSU rRNA". It matches the Rfam family "Bacterial small subunit ribosomal RNA", at positions 60 to 1092 of the family's 1533-position model. Lineage: Bacteria; Bacillati; Actinomycetota; Actinomycetes; Micrococcales; Microbacteriaceae. The record is from RNAcentral.
AGUCGACGGUGAAAGCAGAGCUUGCUCUGUGGAUCAGUGGCGAACGGGUGAGUAACACGUGAGCAACCUGCCCCUGACUCUGGGAUAAGCGCUGGAAACGGCGUCUAAUACUGGAUACGAACAAGAAUCGCAUGGUUACUUGUUGGAAAGAUUUAUCGGUUGGGGAUGGGCUCGCGGCCUAUCAGCUUGUUGGUGAGGUAAUGGCUCACCAAGGCGUCGACGGGUAGCCGGCCUGAGAGGGUGACCGGCCACACUGGGACUGAGACACGGCCCAGACUCCUACGGGAGGCAGCAGUGGGGAAUAUUGCACAAUGGGCGAAAGCCUGAUGCAGCAACGCCGCGUGAGGGAUGACGGCCUUCGGGUUGUAAACCUCUUUUAGCAGGGAAGAAGCGAGAGUGACGGUACCUGCAGAAAAAGCACCGGCUAACUACGUGCCAGCAGCCGCGGUAAUACGUAGGGUGCAAGCGUUAUCCGGAAUUAUUGGGCGUAAAGAGCUCGUAGGCGGUUUGUCGCGUCUGCUGUGAAAUCUGGGGGCUCAACCCCCAGCCUGCAGUGGGUACGGGCAGACUAGAGUGCGGUAGGGGAGAUUGGAAUUCCUGGUGUAGCGGUGGAAUGCGCAGAUAUCAGGAGGAACACCGAUGGCGAAGGCAGAUCUCUGGGCCGUAACUGACGCUGAGGAGCGAAAGGGUGGGGAGCAAACAGGCUUAGAUACCCUGGUAGUCCACCCCGUAAACGUUGGGAACUAGUUGUGGGGUCCAUUCCACGGAUUCCGUGACGCAGCUAACGCAUUAAGUUCCCCGCCUGGGGAGUACGGCCGCAAGGCUAAAACUCAAAGGAAUUGACGGGGACCCGCACAAGCGGCGGAGCAUGCGGAUUAAUUCGAUGCAACGCGAAGAACCUUACCAAGGCUUGACAUAUACGAGAACGGGCCAGAAAUGGUCAACUCUUUGGACACUCGUAAACAGGUGGUGCAUGGUUGUCGUCAGCUCGUGUCGUGAGAUGUUGGGUUAAGUCCCGCAA